UACGAAGGGGGCUAGCGUUGUUCGGAUUUACUGGGCGUAAAGCGCGUGUAGGCGGAUUGGUAAGUUGGAGGUGAAAGCCCAGAGCUCAACUCUGGAACUGCCUUCAAGACUGUCAGUCUGGACUCAAGGAGAGGCGAGUGGAAUUGCGAGUGUAGAGGUGAAAUUCGUAGAUAUUCGCAGGAACACCAGUGGCGAAGGCGACUCGCUGGACUUGUAGUGACGCUGAGACGCGAAAGCGUGGGGAGCAAACAGG
Molecule: ribosomal RNA, 253 nt
Filed under: uncultured bacterium
Lineage: Bacteria
Description: partial 16S ribosomal RNA
Rfam family: Bacterial small subunit ribosomal RNA
Source: RNAcentral